RNAcentral lists this long non-coding RNA (885 nucleotides) under Homo sapiens (human). RNAcentral describes it as "HSALNT0386148". Lineage: Eukaryota; Metazoa; Chordata; Mammalia; Primates; Hominidae. The record is from RNAcentral.
CUCACAUUCAUUCCCACAGUCCCACCACUGCUGUCCCUUAGCCAGUUCUACAUUGUGAGCAACCCUAUGGAGAAGCCCUUAAGUUGCUGAAGCCUCCAGCCAACAGCCAUGUCGCUGAUUUUGGAAGGCGAUUUUGGAAGCUUAUCUCCCAGACCAAAUCAAGCCUCAGGUGACUGCAGCCCCAGCUGAAACAUUGAUUGCAUUCUUAUGAGAAACCCUAAAACCAGAGCCAUCAGCUCCCAAAUUCCUGACCCACAGAAACUGUGAAAUAAUAAUGUUUGUUGUUUUAACCUGUUCAUUUUUGGAGGUAAUUUGUUACCCGGCAUUAGGUAAUGAAUAUACUGGCCAAUUACCACAUGUAUCGAUUCAUUUAUUUAUUCAUUCAGUAGGCAUUGAAUGACAACUUUGCCAGGGACUGUGCUAGAUGCUAGGGAUACCAAGACAAAUAAAGCAAGGUCCCUGCCUUCAAAGAACUCACAGUCUAGGAGAGUGAGAUGGACACGGAGUCAGAGAACACUGAAGGUUGGUUUAUGAGCAGCAGGCAUACAAAGGAGGAAGCUGGAGUGGAAGGAGCCGUAAAAUUGACAAAGUGGUCUCUAAUAUAACCCUCCCCAGACACACAUACAAAUACAACACUUUCUUCCUAACUUUCACUUAGCUUAGCUGUAGACAGUUCCAGCAAACCUUGUUUAGCACUGCUCCGUGCUACAUUGACUCCUUAUGGAGCUGGCUGACCACUGUGGAAGAGAGAGCACUAUCCUACAUUCUCAGCCCUUGGCUGUGGGCAUCCCAUGAUCAACGUGACUCAGUUUGAGUGACUCUUGCCAGUCUGUCAGUUUUCUUUCCUCUUCCCUGGUCUCUCUGUCAUUAACACCCUAUUACCUA